This 460-nucleotide ribosomal RNA is filed under the name uncultured bacterium. Its description in RNAcentral is "partial 16S ribosomal RNA". It matches the Rfam family "Bacterial small subunit ribosomal RNA", at positions 338 to 795 of the family's 1533-position model. The record is from RNAcentral.
CCUACGGGUGGCAGCAGUGAGGAAUAUUGGUCAAUGGACGAGAGUCUGAACCAGCCAAGUAGCGUGAAGGAUGACUGCCCUAUGGGUUGUAAACUUCUUUUAUAUGGGAAUAAAAUGUUCCACGUGUGGGAUUUUGUAUGUACCAUAUGAAUAAGGAUCGGCUAACUCCGUGCCAGCAGCCGCGGUAAUACGGAGGAUCCGAGCGUUAUCCGGAUUUAUUGGGUUUAAAGGGAGCGUAGGUGGAUUGUUAAGUCAGUUGUGAAAGUUUGCGGCUCAACCGUAAAAUUGCAGUUGAAACUGGCAGUCUUGAGGACAGUAGAGGUGGGCGGAAUUCGUGGUGUAGCGGUGGAAUGCUUAGAUAUCACGAAGAACUCCGAUUGCGAAGGCAGCUCACUGGACUGCAACUGACACUGAGGCUCGAAAGUGUGGGUAUCAAACAGGAUUAGGUACCCCUGUAGUC